UAACACACGUUUUUAACAAUCCAUUUCAAUCCAAUAAUCUCUUUCCAACAGCUCUUCUUGCCUACACCUCCACGAUCACCAUUCACGUCAAUCUCUCUUAUAACUACCUUCAUUCCAUCAUUUAUAUUUCUGCAAUGUUAUUCUUUCGCAUGCAAGAUUUAUUAGAAGAAAUCAGGUUUGUAUCUUCUUUCUUUCAAAUAUGAAAAUCUGAGAUAGAGAGAGCAAAAUAGAAUAUUUUAUGUAAGUAUACACCUCUACGUCCAACAGAAACAGGAGAGAAGAAAAGAAGACAAACUGGUUUUAACAAGAAUAAAACAUUAUUGGAUCAACAUACAAUCCAGUAAAAAAAAAGCCAAAACAAAAUGAAUGAGUUUUUUUCUACAACAAACGAAAGGACUAGAAUCAGGUGUCCAUAAUCUGAUAACAAGUGGUGUUUUAGAUCUUCUCUGAUUCCUUUUUUUUUUGUAACUGAUCUUAUCUGAUUAUUUUUCUUAUGCUUUUCUUUAAAAAUAUCUAUUUUAUUUUUGUAGUCUUUACUUGAAGAAAUUCCAUCAGUCAAUACUCAAUACUAAAGAUGUGAUACAGCUUUCGAAAGAAGGAAAGACAUUAAAAACCAAACACUCUACCGGGGAAAAAGAGUAUUGAUGCAGCUGAGUUUUUACAAAUCUGUAAGUUAUGAUCUGAGUGUUUCAAAAAUCUUUUUAAAAAUUAUAAUAGAGCAUGUCUAUUAUAUACAAGUUGAAUAUUCUAAAUAUAUCGAGUCUCUUAUGUUUAGUUUCAUUUUUUAUUUUCCAUUAUAUUAGAAAUAAGGAGAUUUAUAUUUUCAAGAAGACUUAUUUACAAAAAAAAAAAUACAAAUAAAGCUGAAUAGAUCAAACUUAUUUUUAACUACAUUUAUUCAUGUUUGUAUAUAUCUUAACUUUCUAUGAAAAUUGCUUCUAAAUAUGUAUAUUAUCUCUCUGAAAAAUCAUAAUAAUUCUUAUAAGGCUUCAAACUCUUUGUCUGAAUGCAUCCACUUCUAAUUUUAGAUGCCGGUGUGUGUUACUAACAUAAUAUUUAAUUUUGAUGAAAACAAAAAUGAAAAACAACAUUGGAAUCAUACAAUAAAAAUAUCUUUUAAUUGUAAUCUUAAAAAAAAAGAUCAUUUAAGUGCAAGCAAAAAUUGAUCCUGUGCUAAGCACGGGAUAAUAAUACUAGUAAAGACUGAUUUACAAUAUUUAUUAACAUAUUAUUUGAACUAAAUUUUUUUAUAUAGAGAAUAGAAAACUUUUAUGUAAAACAUAAUGUAUAGAAACAUGACAAUACUUUAAAUUUUUUUAAUUAUAUUCAAAUUUUAUGCGUAUACACGAAAUAUGUUUCUAAAAAUCUAACAUUUUAUUUGAAAUCUGAAACAUUAACCGAAAACCGAAUCUGAAACACAAAAGAAUAAUCGUGAUACCGAAGAUAUAUUUGAAACAGAAAAAUAUAUUUAAUAUACACAAUACAUUUUAGAUACUCAGGGUACCGGUUCAGAUCUCUAUAGAAUCCAAACCUACACCGACACUGCCGGUCUAAAAUAUACCCAAUAGAUACUUUGCCGUAGACUUGGAUCUGAACCGAUUCGGAUCGGUUUUUAUUCGAACCAGAUAAAAUGUUUGGACUUAAGAGAGAGUUACAUAACAAUAUACAUACAAAAUUUUAAGUAAAUUAAUUCAUAAAUCAUAUAAUUUUAUAAAAUUCUAUGUUUUGAUAUUAAAAAAUUUAUUGUAAGAAAACCCGCGCUUUUGAAGCGCGGGUCAAGAUCUAGUUAUUAAUUAAAAGAUCAGCAGCCCCUUCUCAACAAAAAGUAGGACCCUGAGGUGGAAAAAAAAAAUUUGGCGCCCUUUUAAAGAAAAAAAAAACAAAAAUUAGAGCUUUUUUUUAAGAAUUUUUUUUAAAAAUAAUUUUGGACGCUAAUCUGGCCCAAAAUAUUUUAAAUGAUGUAAUGGGUUCUGUGCAAAUGCAUUCUGAACAAAUGCACAGAACCGGACAUGAAUAUCAGUGGCAUAAAUUUGUAAUAUUAGAGGUGAAGUGGGGGUUUUUUAUUUGUAUUUUAUUUUUAAUAAAUUUCAUUUUUAAUAGAUUAGAUAGAUAGAUAGACGGAAAAAAAGAAAAAAAAAUAUUUUUACAUUAAUAUUUUUGUCGGAACUGCUUCAGUUCAGUUAUCUGGUCUGUGAGAGCCCGGUCGAAUUCAAUUUCAUCAAUCCAGCAAAACCCGGAUUAAUCCAAGCAGUAUCUGUGGUCUAAUCGGUCAAAUCGUAACAUGUUUGCUAUCCGGUCUGCAUUGAAUAUAAACCGGAUAAAAUAACAUAAACCGGAUAAAAUUACAUAAACCGGUGCGAUGGUAAAUGAUACCAGAGAAAAAAAAAGGGGUUAGGUUCUCUCAUUUCACCAAACAGUCGAGCUACUUCUCUUUCAUCAAUCUCCGAAGAAGAGCUUAUCUGCCUUCUAAAAGGGAGGUUCUUCGGUUAUGGUUAAUGCCUUAGAUUUGCAGAGCUUUAUUCUUAGAGCUCGAGUGCUUAAACUUUACAGGCAAGCUUUGAAGAUAGCUCACAGAGCUCCUCCUCAGGCUAGAGGGGAAUUAAAACAGAGUAUUAGGCAAGAGAUGGAGAAGAACAGUGAGUGCAAUGACAAGCCAAAGAUCAGGUAUUUGAUUAGUGAAGGAUUAGAGAGGAUUAAACAACUUGAUGAGAUGUUGGACAUGCAAGGCCAUUGAAAGCAUAUGUUUUGUCUGAUAAAAGUAAAGUACAAAAGAAACAUGUGUUCUUGACAUAUAUUCAUUUGGUUUGAUGCUUAGUUAGGUUCAAUAUCUGAAAAAUCAAGUGUAACAAAUAUGUGUGAUAAUAACAAGAAUGAUGUACUUUUUACUUACCAAACACAUCCACUUGCUAAUAGGACACAGCUUGUUUGAGUCUAAUGUCAGAAUCAUGUUCUGCUCCACUUGUUAUAUAUAUAUUUUGCAACA
Brassica rapa (field mustard) is the source of this 2983-nucleotide RNA transcript. RefSeq lists it as uncharacterized. Lineage: Eukaryota; Viridiplantae; Streptophyta; Magnoliopsida; Brassicales; Brassicaceae. The record is from RefSeq and is a predicted model, not a curated record.